RNAcentral lists this ribosomal RNA (450 nucleotides) under uncultured bacterium. Its description in RNAcentral is "partial 16S ribosomal RNA". It matches the Rfam family "Bacterial small subunit ribosomal RNA", at positions 354 to 796 of the family's 1533-position model. The record is from RNAcentral.
GUGGGGAAUUUUGGACAAUGGGCGAAAGCCUGAUCCAGCCAUGCCGCGUGCAGGAUGAAGGCCUUCGGGUUGUAAACUGCUUUUGUACGGAACGAAAAGACUUCUUCUAAUACAGGAGGUCCAUGACGGUACCGUAAGAAUAAGCACCGGCUAACUACGUGCCAGCAGCCGCGGUAAUACGUAGGGUGCAAGCGUUAAUCGGAAUUACUGGGCGUAAAGCGUGCGCAGGCGGUUAUAUAAGACAGAUGUGAAAUCCCCGGGCUCAACCUGGGAACUGCAUUUGGGACUGUAUAGCUAGAGUACGGUAGAGGGGGAUGGAAUUCCGCGUGUAGCAGUGAAAUGCGUAGAUAUGCGGAGGAACACCGAUGGCGAAGGCAAUCCCCUGGACCUGUACUGACGCUCAUGCACGAAAGCGUGGGGAGCAAACAGGAUUAGAAACCCCAGUAGUCC